UUCCUGCAUAAGAGGUCAUUAUUGCAGAGUUGGAGACUGACACUGUGUUUAUCAGUACAUGCUAUUGGAAUUCCCAACAAACUUGACAGGAUGGAUCAGUCACACGUUGGUUACAUCAAGUCUUCUAAAGUCCUAGAGGGAUAAAGACACAUAUAAUUACAAUGGAGGUGACAGGCCUGAAAAUAUCUAUUUUUUUAAUCUUGAAGGCAGUACGAGAGGCCCUAAUGACAUAUAUACAGUACUAACAAGAAUAUGGGGGCUUUCAUAACUUGAGGUAUUUACCUAGAUCCUUGAGAUGCUAUUCGUAUUGGCCUGAAUGCAGUUGAAUUCUGAAUCAUAAACAAGCUGGGAGAUUUGUCUUCCACAUAGUAGUUUUUAGUGCAUGCUCGGAGAACAAGAUAAGAGGAGAGGCUUGAAUCUUGAGAUGACAAGGGUAGUCACCUGCUGCGACUAAAGGAAGGAGGUCAAUGAAGCAAAAGGCACGAAAAGGAAGGAGCAGCGCCACAGGGACGAUGUUGUCGGCAGCGCUUUGGGAGGAUUCGCUCCAGAGAAGUUACGGUAGUCGGCCAUCGCCCAGGGGAAGCGGGGAGGAUGUCGUUCGAAACGCCUGGGUCUAGAGGAGUGUGUCCAGGUGGUGGCCGAGGAUGGCGACGAGCAAUUGGGUUGAGCAUUUGUCAACGUGAUGGUGUCGUUGCUAAAGGUACCAACACCCUUGUUUUGACCCAAUGUUUCUCGGCUAGCUGUGCAUGGCUGGGACUGUUUCGUGCAUAUAGGGGACGGCUCAUGCCAUCCACUUCCAAAGCAAUAAGGUAGCCAUCCAUGUCACUGUCGCUUGCUGUUAGUUUUUUUUUGGAUUCCAUAGGUGUUUCUUAAUGCAUCAAUCAUUUUCAAUUAGGACGGGAGUCUGAAAAAUGUUGUAAGAUUAUCGCCAUUUUUUUAAACUACAAAAGUCCAAAGAUUAGAAGCAUGAUCUUUUAUUUUUCAUG
Molecule: long non-coding RNA, 986 nt
Organism: Triticum dicoccoides
Lineage: Eukaryota; Viridiplantae; Streptophyta; Magnoliopsida; Poales; Poaceae
Exons: 7
Source: RefSeq, a predicted model, not a curated record